This 73-nucleotide transfer RNA is filed under the name Ailuropoda melanoleuca (giant panda). It matches the Rfam family "tRNA". From Rfam's summary of the family: Transfer RNA (tRNA) molecules are approximately 80 nucleotides in length. Lineage: Eukaryota; Metazoa; Chordata; Mammalia; Carnivora; Ursidae. The record is from Rfam by way of RNAcentral.
ACCUGGUGGGCUCAGUCGGUAGAGCGUGGGGCUUUUGAUCUCAGAGUUGUGAGUUUGAGCCCCAUGUUGGGUG